GACGAACGCUGGCGGCGUGCUUAACACAUGCAAGUCGAACGGAAAGGCCCUGCUUGCAGGGUACUCGAGUGGCGAACGGGUGAGUAACACGUGGGUGAUCUGCCCUGCACUUCGUGAUAAGCGUGGGAAACUGGGUCUAAUACCGGAUAGGAGCCAUCUUUAGUGUGGUGGUUGGAAAGUUUUUUCGGUGUAGGAUGAGCUCGGGGCCUAUCAGCUUGUUGGUUGGGUAAUGGCCUACCAAGGCGGCGACGGGUAGCCGGCCUGAGAGGGUGUAAGGCCACAUUGGGACUGAGAUACGGCCCAGACUCCUACGGGAGGCAGCAGUGGGGAAUAUUGCACAAUGGGCGCAAGCCUGAUGCAGAGACGCCGCGUGGGGGAUGAAGGCCUUCGGGUUGUAAACUCCUUUCGCUAGGGAAGAAGCUUUGUUGUGACGGUACCUAGAUGAGAAGCACCGGCUAACUACGUG
RNAcentral lists this ribosomal RNA (466 nucleotides) under uncultured bacterium. Its description in RNAcentral is "partial 16S ribosomal RNA". It matches the Rfam family "Bacterial small subunit ribosomal RNA", at positions 28 to 507 of the family's 1533-position model. The record is from RNAcentral.